Molecule: ribosomal RNA, 489 nt
Filed under: Bacillus cereus
Lineage: Bacteria; Bacillati; Bacillota; Bacilli; Caryophanales; Bacillaceae
Description: bacterial SSU rRNA
Rfam family: Bacterial small subunit ribosomal RNA
Source: RNAcentral
GGGAAUCUUCCGCAAUGGACGAAAGUCUGACGGAGCAACGCCGCGUGAGUGAUGAAGGCUUUCGGGUCGUAAAACUCUGUUGUUAGGGAAGAACAAGUGCUAGUUGAAUAAGCUGGCACCUUGACGGUACCUAACCAGAAAGCCACGGCUAACUACGUGCCAGCAGCCGCGGUAAUACGUAGGUGGCAAGCGUUAUCCGGAAUUAUUGGGCGUAAAGCGCGCGCAGGUGGUUUCUUAAGUCUGAUGUGAAAGCCCACGGCUCAACCGUGGAGGGUCAUUGGAAACUGGGAGACUUGAGUGCAGAAGAGGAAAGUGGAAUUCCAUGUGUAGCGGUGAAAUGCGUAGAGAUAUGGAGGAACACCAGUGGCGAAGGCGACUUUCUGGUCUGUAACUGACACUGAGGCGCGAAAGCGUGGGGAGCAAACAGGAUUAGAUACCCUGGUAGUCCACGCCGUAAACGAUGAGUGCUAAGUGUUAGAGGGUUUCCGC